UUUAACAAAAACAUGUCUGUAUGAUUGUUAUAUAGAGUCUGGCCUGCCCACUGAUUUAUUAAAGGGCCGCGGUAUCUUGACCGUGCGAAGGUAGCAUAAUCAUUAGUCUUUUAAUUGAAGGCUUGUAUGAAUGGUUGGACAAAAAGUUAACUGUCUCAUUUAUAAAAAUUGAAUUUAACUUUUAAGUGAAAAGGCUUAAAUAUACUGAGGGGACGAUAAGACCCUAUAAAGCUUUACAAUAAAUUAAUUAAAUUAUAAAUUAUUAGUAUAACUUAAUUUAAUUAGUAUUUGUUUCGUUGGGGCGACGAGAAUAUAAU
Molecule: ribosomal RNA, 317 nt
Filed under: Pleoticus robustus
Lineage: Eukaryota; Metazoa; Arthropoda; Malacostraca; Decapoda; Solenoceridae
Description: partial 16S ribosomal RNA
Rfam family: Archaeal large subunit ribosomal RNA
Source: RNAcentral